UCCUACGGGAGGCAGCAGUGGGGAAUAUUGCACAAUGGGCGCAAGCCUGAUGCAGCAACGCCGCGUGAGGGAUGACGGCCUUCGGGUUGUAAACCUCUUUUAGUAGGGAAGAAGCGAAAGUGACGGUACCUGCAGAAAAAGCACCGGCUAACUACGUGCCAGCAGCCGCGGUAAUACGUAGGGUGCAAGCGUUGUCCGGAAUUAUUGGGCGUAAAGAGCUCGUAGGCGGUUUGUCGCGUCUGCUGUGAAAUCCCGAGGCUCAACCUCGGGCUUGCAGUGGGUACGGGCAGACUAGAGUGCGGUAGGGGAGAUUGGAAUUCCUGGUGUAGCGGUGGAAUGCGCAGAUAUCAGGAGGAACACCGAUGGCGAAGGCAGAUCUCUGGGCCGUAACUGACGCUGAGGAGCGAAAGCGUGGGGAGCGAACAGGAUUAGAUACCCUGGUAGUCCACGCCGUAAACGUUGGGCGCUAGAUGUAGGGACCUUUCCACGGUUUCUGUGUCGUAGCUAACGCAUUAAGCGCCCCGCCUGGGGAGUACGGCCGCAAGGCUAAAACUCAAAUGAAUUGACGGA
This 570-nucleotide ribosomal RNA is filed under the name uncultured bacterium. Its description in RNAcentral is "bacterial SSU rRNA". It matches the Rfam family "Bacterial small subunit ribosomal RNA", at positions 337 to 917 of the family's 1533-position model. The record is from RNAcentral.